Molecule: long non-coding RNA, 1738 nt
Organism: Raphanus sativus (radish)
Lineage: Eukaryota; Viridiplantae; Streptophyta; Magnoliopsida; Brassicales; Brassicaceae
Exons: 6
Source: RefSeq, a predicted model, not a curated record
CUCGUACUCAGCUCCUAGUCUUCAAUCUCUCUCAACUCCGACCCCUUUGUCAAGUAUAGGUUCAGAUUUUCCCGAAGCUCCAUUGCCAUACGGCUCACGGCGAUCCCUACUGGCAUGAAAGCCAAACGAGAGAAGGAUGCAAAAUUUCUGCUUGGCUUGAUUACUCUAACCCCUGAAGCUCCACCAAGAUCUCUAUAGGCAUCACUUUUACCACCACGCUUUGCAAAGUGUGCUCCGCCGUUCAUGGAUCCAAGCUCGAGUAUGUGAAGACUGACCAUCGUUAGACUUCAUAAUCCAUUACUCCCCCACUGCAACAACACUUCGACUUCUUCGAUGAAAUUCUACUCUCAACCAUUGUUGCUAUCCAACACAGUAGCUCUAAUCCGUGAGAUUCAACCACUGAUGUGCAUCCUCUAGUGGUUUCUCAUUCUUUACUGACUGUCGUUACCAUAAGAGAUGACCCUUCCUUCGAGGAUGAUUAGACGAACUAGUUUCACAAGAGUUCUGCAGUUUUCCGUUAUUUCAUCCUGUCUACAAUGAUGACUUUUCUUUUGCUUGUUCAAUGAUCCCGUUGUGCUUCUCAUAUACCAGAGAUACUAGUCUCCCUUCACCAUUACUAGUUUAAGACGUUCUCUCAUCAACCUUCCCUUUACUUGUUUGGCGACCCGUUGCAAUUCUUUUCUAGCCUGAGAUACUCGUCUCCGUUCACCAUUCUUGAUGUUUAAGAUGUUCUCUCAGCUGCUCCACCUUGAACGGAAACAUCCACCUCGUCUUAUCCGUCACAAGUAACCUUUCUAACUCCUUUUCAUUAUCGAUAAGAAAUAACAGUAGUUCCUUACUCAUUAUUUCUUCUUGUGCGCGGUGUCUCGAUAAUGAAAUUACCUGUGAUGCUUUCCUCCAAUUAAUGGAUAUUAGGAAGUUCACAGUAGUGCUGCAACUUCUCGUCAGGAACUAUGAGAUUUGAUGGAAUGGUAGUAAAGAUGAGAAUCCAAAAAAAUGAUCAAUCUGUACGGGAGAAACAAAAGAAAUCUACAAAGUCUUUGUUUUCAUCCAAUUGACAUUAGAUGAAGAUAUACUCUCAAGAAUCUCUGCAUUGAACACAGCUCAUGAAGCAUGGGAGAUUCUGAAGCAGUAGUAUAUGGAAGCACAAAAGGUGAUCAUGUGGUGAAGUUACAAACCCAACGCCAAAGUUCGAAACUCUAUCUAUGAAGGAGAAAGAAAUUAUUAUGGAGUACUUGGUUAGAUUUUCUACCAUUGUGAAUAAGAUGAAAGCUUAUGGUAAAUAGAAAGAUUUUCAAGUGAACGGAGAAUCGUCAGAGAAGGUAAGGUUUGAGUAUUGUGGAGGUCGUGGUUAUUGCAGACGUAGAGGUGGAUUUCAUGGUCGAGGCCGUGAUUAUGGUAGAGAAAGAGGUCAUUUAAGUGAUUAGAAUCAUAACCAAUUUUCUGAUAUCACUCAAAUUAUCCUAAGGAGUGACUUUUACUCUCUCAAAUAUGAGGUCGAGUUGUAGUACUUAGAGAUCGAAUCCACAGAGAGCUAGGGCACACAAUAGAUCUAAGCAGUUUAUGAUUAAGCUAGGUAAAUAGAUCUAAUUGUAAAUUGCAGUGGUGAACAAGGUAGUUGUUCGGUUGGUUGGAUUGAGGUUUGUAGACAAUUAUGAGAAAGCGCUAGAUCUAGGGUUUCUAUUCAGGUAAUCAUGAUUAUAAUAGUAUAAAGACUAUGGUUACAUGCAUGAUAUUA